GAUGAACGCUGGCGGCGUGCCUAAUACAUGCAAGUCGAGCGAACGGACGAGAAGCUUGCUUCUCUGAUGUUAGCGGCGGACGGGUGAGUAACACGUGGAUAACCUACCUAUAAGACUGGGAUAACUUCGGGAAACCGGAGCUAAUACCGGAUAAUAUUUUGAACCGCAUGGUUCAAAAGUGAAAGACGGUCUUGCUGUCACUUAUAGAUGGAUCCGCGCUGCAUUAGCUAGUUGGUAAGGUAACGGCUUACCAAGGCAACGAUGCAUAGCCGACCUGAGAGGGUGAUCGGCCACACUGGAACUGAGACACGGUCCAGACUCCUACGGGAGGCAGCAGUAGGGAAUCUUCCGCAAUGGGCGAAAGCCUGACGGAGCAACGCCGCGUGAGUGAUGAAGGUCUUCGGAUCGUAAAACUCUGUUAUUAGGGAAGAACAUAUGUGUAAGUAACUGUGCACAUCUUGACGGUACCUAAUCAGAAAGCCACGGCUAACUACGUGCCAGCAGCCGCGGUAAUACGUAGGUGGCAAGCGUUAUCCGGAAUUAUUGGGCGUAAAGCGCGCGUAGGCGGUUUUUUAAGUCUGAUGUGAAAGCCCACGGCUCAACCGUGGAGGGUCAUUGGAAACUGGAAAACUUGAGUGCAGAAGAGGAAAGUGGAAUUCCAUGUGUAGCGGUGAAAUGCGCAGAGAUAUGGAGGAACACCAGUGGCGAAGGCGACUUUCUGGUCUGUAACUGACGCUGAUGUGCGAAAGCGUGGGGAUCAAACAGGAUUAGAUACCCUGGUAGUCCACGCCGUAAACGAUGAGUGCUAAGUGUUAGGGGGUUUCCGCCCCUUAGUGCUGCAGCUAACGCAUUAAGCACUCCGCCUGGGGAGUACGACCGCAAGGUUGAAACUCAAAGGAAUUGACGGGGACCCGCACAAGCGGUGGAGCAUGUGGUUUAAUUCGAAGCAACGCGAAGAACCUUACCAAAUCUUGACAUCCUUUGACAACUCUAGAGAUAGAGCCUUCCCCUUCGGGGGACAAAGUGGCAGGUGGUGCAUGGUUGUCGUCAGCUCGUGUCGUGAGAUGUUGGGUUAAGUCCCGCAACGAGCGCAACCCUUAAGCUUAGUUGCCAUCAUUAAGUUGGGCACUCUAAGUUGACUGCCGGUGACAAACCGGAGGGAGGUGGGGAUGACGUCAAAUCAUCAUGCCCCUUAUGAUUUGGGCUACACACGUGCUACAAUGGACAAUACAAAGGGCAGCGAAACCGCGAGGUCAAGCAAAUCCCAUAAAGUUGUUCUCAGUCCGGAUUGUAGUCUGCAACUCGACUACAUGAAGCUGGAAUCGCUAGUAAUCGUAGAUCAGCAUGCUACGGUGAAUACGUUCCCGGGUCU
RNAcentral lists this ribosomal RNA (1372 nucleotides) under uncultured bacterium. Its description in RNAcentral is "bacterial SSU rRNA". It matches the Rfam family "Bacterial small subunit ribosomal RNA", at positions 28 to 1381 of the family's 1533-position model. The record is from RNAcentral.